RNAcentral lists this ribosomal RNA (30 nucleotides) under Fusarium oxysporum. Its description in RNAcentral is "partial 28S ribosomal RNA". Lineage: Eukaryota; Fungi; Ascomycota; Sordariomycetes; Hypocreales; Nectriaceae. The record is from RNAcentral.
AACUUCUGAAUGUGACCUCGGAUCAGGUAG